This 522-nucleotide ribosomal RNA is filed under the name Pseudomonas sp. ALS1279. Its description in RNAcentral is "bacterial SSU rRNA". It matches the Rfam family "Bacterial small subunit ribosomal RNA", at positions 1 to 522 of the family's 1533-position model. Lineage: Bacteria; Pseudomonadati; Pseudomonadota; Gammaproteobacteria; Pseudomonadales; Pseudomonadaceae. The record is from RNAcentral.
UGGAGAGUUUGAUCCUGGCUCAGAUUGAACGCUGGCGGCAGGCCUAACACAUGCAAGUCGAGCGGAUGAGAGGAGCUUGCUCCUUGAUUUAGCGGCGGACGGGUGAGUAAUGCCUAGGAAUCUGCCUGGUAGUGGGGGAUAACGUCCGGAAACGGGCGCUAAUACCGCAUACGUCCUACGGGAGAAAGCAGGGGACCUUCGGGCCUUGCGCUAUCAGAUGAGCCUAGGUCGGAUUAGCUAGUUGGUGAGGUAAUGGCUCACCAAGGCGACGAUCCGUAACUGGUCUGAGAGGAUGAUCAGUCACACUGGAACUGAGACACGGUCCAGACUCCUACGGGAGGCAGCAGUGGGGAAUAUUGGACAAUGGGCGAAAGCCUGAUCCAGCCAUGCCGCGUGUGUGAAGAAGGUCUUCGGAUUGUAAAGCACUUUAAGUUGGGAGGAAGGGCAUUAACCUAAUACGUUAGUGUUUUGACGUUACCGACAGAAUAAGCACCGGCUAACUUCGUGCCAGCAGCCGCGGUA